Molecule: long non-coding RNA, 412 nt
Filed under: Chinchilla lanigera (long-tailed chinchilla)
Lineage: Eukaryota; Metazoa; Chordata; Mammalia; Rodentia; Chinchillidae
Description: lncRNA (ENSCLAG00000024828.1)
Source: RNAcentral
AUGUGUUUAGAUACAUAAUUGAUACUCAUUCUCAUACAAACUCCUUCUUAUCUUUUUCAGACUGGUAAAAAACUGUUCCUGGCCCAGUUCUGACACAUGGACAACUGGAAUAGCUUUGCUGAAGCUUAAAAAUGAGAUGGUGUUACCCUCAUAUGGGGGACCCUGUAGGAUGUCGUAUAUCAUGGAAAACCCACUACAGUGCUGGCCCUUAGAGAAGAAAUUGAAAAUGCAUGAGCAGCAAUCUCAGUGACCAAGGUUACCCAAGCAGCAGUUCACCAUACUGAUAAACGUCUGGAAGCUGAUGGCCACCACUCUGAGCACCUUUUGUAAUUGUAGAGGCCAAAGGAAACUUGUAUUAAUCGCAUGAUGUCUCAAUAAAUUUAGUAUUAAAAUAUUUAUGCAAGUUUUUCUU